UCCUACGGGUGGCUGCAGUGGGGAAUCUUAGACAAUGGGCGCAAGCCUGAUCUAGCCAUGCCGCGUGAGCGAUGAAGGCCUUAGGGUUGUAAAGCUCUUUCAGCGAGGAAGAUAAUGACUGUACUCGCAGAAGAAGCCCCGGCUAACUCCGUGCCAGCAGCCGCGGUAAUACGGAGGGGGCUAGCGUUGUUCGGAAUUACUGGGCGUAAAGCGCACGUAGGCGGACUGGAAAGUCAGGGGUGAAAUCCCGGGGCUCAACCCCGGAACUGCCUUUGAAACUCCCAGUCUUGAGGUCGAGAGAGGUGAGUGGAAUUCCGAGUGUAGAGGUGAAAUUCGUAGAUAUUCGGAGGAACACCAGUGGCGAAGGCGGCUCACUGGCUCGAUACUGACGCUGAGGUGCGAAAGCGUGGGGAGCAAACAGGAUUAGAUACCCUUGUAGUCCC
This 443-nucleotide ribosomal RNA is filed under the name uncultured Paracoccaceae bacterium. RNAcentral describes it as "bacterial SSU rRNA". It matches the Rfam family "Bacterial small subunit ribosomal RNA", at positions 337 to 797 of the family's 1533-position model. The record is from RNAcentral. Lineage: Bacteria; Pseudomonadati; Pseudomonadota; Alphaproteobacteria; Rhodobacterales; Paracoccaceae.